Molecule: microRNA precursor, 141 nt
Filed under: Gossypium hirsutum (cotton)
Lineage: Eukaryota; Viridiplantae; Streptophyta; Magnoliopsida; Malvales; Malvaceae
Description: MIR7502 microRNA precursor family
Rfam family: MIR7502 microRNA precursor family
Source: Rfam by way of RNAcentral
UGUUAAAAAAUUCAUCCAUCUAGACCAUUAAAAAUGACGUGAUUGAUAGAAUAAUUAGAUAAUAACAUAUGACUACGUGUAUCUCAUGUUGGCAUACAAUGAUAAGUUUUUUAACAGUAGAAAUAGAUGGAAUUUUUAAUA